GGGCUAUCAUGCAGUCGAACGCGUCCUCGCUGAUGAAGUUGAAGUGCUUGCACGGAUUCAUUCAACAUUUGGACGAGUGGCGAACUGGUGAGUAACACGUGGGUAACCUGCCCUCAAGCAGGGGAUAACACUUGGAAACAGGUGCUAAUACCGUAUAACAAUGAAAACCGCAUGAUUUUCAUUUGAAAGAUGGUUUCGGCUAUCACUUGAGGAUGGACCCGCGGCGUAUUAGCUAGUUGGUGAGGUAACGGCUCACCAAGGCAAUGAUACGUAGCCGACCUGAGAGGGUAAUCGGCCACAUUGGGACUGAGACACGGCCCAAACUCCUACGGGAGGCAGCAGUAGGGAAUCUUCCACAAUGGACGAAAGUCUGAUGGAGCAACGCCGCGUGAGUGAAGAAGGGUUUCGGCUCGUAAAACUCUGUUGUUAAAGAAGAACAGGUGUAAGAGUAACUGUUUACACCGUGACGGUAUUUAACCAGAAAGCCACGGCUAACUACGUGCCAGCAGCCGCGGUAAUACGUUAGGUGGCAAGCGUUGUCCGGAUUUAUUGGGCGUAAAGCGAGCGCAGGCGGUCUUUUAAGUCUGAUGUGAAAGCCUUCGGCUUAACCGGAGAAGUGCAUCGGAAACUGGGAGACUUGAGUGCAGA
This 648-nucleotide ribosomal RNA is filed under the name uncultured bacterium. Its description in RNAcentral is "bacterial SSU rRNA". It matches the Rfam family "Bacterial small subunit ribosomal RNA", at positions 44 to 652 of the family's 1533-position model. The record is from RNAcentral.